RNAcentral lists this ribosomal RNA (253 nucleotides) under uncultured bacterium. Its description in RNAcentral is "partial 16S ribosomal RNA". It matches the Rfam family "Bacterial small subunit ribosomal RNA", at positions 524 to 776 of the family's 1533-position model. The record is from RNAcentral.
UACGUAGGGUGCAAGCGUUGUCCGGAAUUAUUGGGCGUAAAGAGCUCGUAGGCGGUCUGUCGCGCCUGCUGUGAAAACUCAGGGCUUAACCCUGAGCUUGCAGUGGGUACGGGCAGACUAGAGUGCGGUAGGGGAGACUGGAAUUCCUGGUGUAGCGGUGAAAUGCGCAGAUAUCAGGAGGAACACCGGUGGCGAAGGCGGGUCUCUGGGCCGUAACCGACGCUGAGGAGCGAAAGCAUGGGGAGCGAACAGG